UUUCCGUAGGUGAACCUUCGGAAGGAUCAUUCAUAAUAAAGUGUUUUAUGGCACUUUUUAAAAAUCCAUAUCACCUUGUGUGCAAUGUUAGAUCUCGUCAAUCUUGGCGAGAUUUUUAUACAUCAACUCAUUCUUUAACUAAUUUGUCUGAAAAAUAUUAUGAAUACUUAAUUCAAAAUACAACUCUCAACAACGGAUCUCUUGGCUCUC
RNAcentral lists this unclassified non-coding RNA (210 nucleotides) under plant metagenome. Its description in RNAcentral is "partial contains small subunit ribosomal RNA, internal transcribed spacer 1, and 5.8S ribosomal RNA". The record is from RNAcentral.